Long non-coding RNA from Mesocricetus auratus (golden hamster), 687 nucleotides. RefSeq lists it as uncharacterized. The transcript has 2 exons. The record is from RefSeq and is a predicted model, not a curated record. Lineage: Eukaryota; Metazoa; Chordata; Mammalia; Rodentia; Cricetidae.
CAGGGAUCUGCUGCGCCUGCGCGCUGACAACAUCCGCAGCCUGCCCAGUCUCUUUCCUCUUUGCCUGUGCGCCUGCGCUCCUAGCUUUCCCAGUCAGUGCGCGCUUUCCACUGUGCUUGUAUGGAGAGCAUAGGCGACAUCCGGUCCCAACACAAGGGGGGUGUGGACAGUCUGGCCAGCUCGACCCGCUCCUAUUUUUUGUCUCCACAAAUAGUAGGCUCACGAUCGCCAAGCUCGUGUCUGUCCACUUCCUUCAUAGGAGACUCCCCCCACACACACUUGGCUUCUGCGUCUACCUUCUUCAGGAUUGGUAUUCACUGCUUCCUGAAACUUCCAGGGGCACUGCAUCCUGGCCAGGUUUCUUCCUUGGGAACGAGGGAGGAGGCGUGACGCGCAAGCAGCUAUGAUUAAAAGAAGCCUGUGUGCAUCUGGCGUUGGUGGCGCACACCUUUGAUCCCAGCACUCGGGAGGCAGAGGCAAGUGGAUCUCUGUGAGCUCGAGGCCAGCCUGGUCUACAGAGUGAGUUCCAGGGCAGCCUCCAAAACAACACAGAGAAACCCUGUCUCUAAAAACAAAACAAACAGAAGAAGCCUGUGUGCAUGGGGGGGGGGGGCAUCAUUUUGUACAAAUGGUGAACCCUGCAUGCUGAUUGUUUCUGCAGAAUAAAUGCUCUUUGGUUUUGCAUAC